GACGAACGCUGGCGGCGUGCUUAACACAUGCAAGUCGAACGGAAAGGCCUGCUUUCCCUUGUGGAUUGCGGGUACUCGAGUGGCGAACGGGUGAGUAACACGUGAGUGAUCUGCCCCCAACUUGGGUAUAAGCCUGGGAAACUGGGUCUAAUUCCCGAUAGGACUGCAGGGUGGUGCCUGUGGUGGAACACGAUUUUCUAGUGGUUGGGGAUGAGCUCGCGGCCUAUCAGCUUGUUGGUGGGGUAAUGGCCUACCAAGGCGGCGACGGGUAGCCGGCCUGAGGGGGUGGACGGCCACAUUGGGACUGAGAUACGGCCCAGACUCCUACGGGAGGCAGCAGUGGGGAAUAUUGCACAAUGGGCGGAAGCCUGAUGCAGCGACGCCGCGUGGGGGAUGACGGCCUUCGGGUUGUAAACUCCUUUCGACCGCGAGGAAGCCACCUGGUUGGAAGGGUGGUGACGGUAGUGGUAGAAGAAGCACCGGCUAACUACGUG
Molecule: ribosomal RNA, 494 nt
Filed under: uncultured bacterium
Lineage: Bacteria
Description: partial 16S ribosomal RNA
Rfam family: Bacterial small subunit ribosomal RNA
Source: RNAcentral